AAGACUAUAGACCUGCGGAGUACCUGCGGAAGGAUCAUUACAAAAUACUCGGGGGCAUGACCGGUUACGGUUUACGCCCCUGCUGGAAGCGCCGGAAGGCGUCUGACGGCACAACCCUCUGUGAAAUUCCCCCGUUGCUUCGGCAGCUCCUCCCAGGAGUGGUAAGCCUGCCGGUGGCAUGACGGAAAAACUCGUUCUGAAAACUUGCACCUCGGUCUGAACAGCACAGUCGAAUGACUA
This 240-nucleotide unclassified non-coding RNA is filed under the name soil metagenome. RNAcentral describes it as "partial contains 5.8S ribosomal RNA, internal transcribed spacer 2, and large subunit ribosomal RNA". The record is from RNAcentral.